AAGCCAGUCAAUGAAUCUGCUCACCUGACUUAUGUUUCUAUAGAAUUUUUUUAUAACUGGCAAAAGCAAUGGUAUUUUAGGAGCCUUAAUGACACUGAGGUCAUUAAGGCCCCUGAAAGUGGCUAUAUGA
This is a small nucleolar RNA of Erinaceus europaeus (western European hedgehog), 130 nucleotides long. The record is from Ensembl. Lineage: Eukaryota; Metazoa; Chordata; Mammalia; Eulipotyphla; Erinaceidae.